UACGUAGGGGGCAAGCGUUAUCCGGAUUUACUGGGUGUAAAGGGGGCGCAGACGGCGAUGCAAGCCAGGAGUGAAAGCCCGGGGCCCAACCCCGGGACUGCUCUUGGAACUGCGUGGCUGGAGUGCAGGAGGGGCAGGCAGAAUUCCUGGUGUAGCGGUGAAAUGCGUAGAUAUCAGGAGGAACACCGGUGGCGAAGGCGGCCUGCUGGACUGCAACUGACGUUGAGGCCCGAAAGCGUGGGGAGCAAACAGG
RNAcentral lists this ribosomal RNA (253 nucleotides) under uncultured bacterium. Its description in RNAcentral is "partial 16S ribosomal RNA". It matches the Rfam family "Bacterial small subunit ribosomal RNA", at positions 524 to 776 of the family's 1533-position model. The record is from RNAcentral.